AGUUUUUCGCAGGGGCAGUAUCGUAGCCAAUGAGGUUUAUCUGAGGCAUGUUUAUUGCUAAUUGAAAACUUUUCCCAAUACCCCGCCAUGAUGACUUGAAAUAUAGUUGACAUUGGCAACUUUUGGCAGUCUCUAUGGGA
RNAcentral lists this small nuclear RNA (140 nucleotides) under Cebus imitator (Panamanian white-faced capuchin). Its description in RNAcentral is "U4 spliceosomal RNA (ENSCCAG00000006909.1)". It matches the Rfam family "U4 spliceosomal RNA". From Rfam's summary of the family: U4 small nuclear RNA (U4 snRNA) is a component of the major U2-dependent spliceosome. The structure of U4 snRNA from yeast and human has been reported. Lineage: Eukaryota; Metazoa; Chordata; Mammalia; Primates; Cebidae. The record is from Rfam by way of RNAcentral.